Molecule: ribosomal RNA, 494 nt
Filed under: uncultured bacterium
Lineage: Bacteria
Description: bacterial SSU rRNA
Rfam family: Bacterial small subunit ribosomal RNA
Source: RNAcentral
GAUGAACGCUAGCGACAGGUCUAACACAUGCAAGUCGAGGGGCAGCGCGGAGUAGCAAUACUUUGGCGGCGACCGGCGCACGGGUGAGUAACACGUAUGCAACCAACCCAUAACAGGGGGAUAACCCGGAGAAAUCCGGACUAAUACCCGCAUAAGACCACGAUAUCGCAUGAUAUAGAGGUCAAAUAUUUAUAGGUUAUGGACGGGCAUGCGUCUGAUUAGCUGGUUGGCGGGGUAACGGCCCACCAAGGCAUCGAUCAGUAGGGGUUCUGAGAGGAAGGUCCCCCACAUUGGAACUGAGACACGGUCCAAACUCCUACGGGAGGCAGCAGUGGGGAAUCUUGGGCAAUGGGCGAAAGCCUGACCCAGCGACACUGCGUGGGUGAUGAAGAUCUUUGGAUUGUAAAACCCUUUUCCUGAAGAUGAAAGGUAGGAUUGAGAAUAUCCUUCCUACCCUGACAGUAUUCAGGGAAUAAGCCCCAGCCAACUACGUG